RNAcentral lists this long non-coding RNA (1024 nucleotides) under Homo sapiens (human). Its description in RNAcentral is "HSALNT0260907". Lineage: Eukaryota; Metazoa; Chordata; Mammalia; Primates; Hominidae. The record is from RNAcentral.
CUUGGACUUCGUAAAGAUCAUCACCAUCCUGGUCACGGCCACAGCGUCCAGCGUGGGGGCAGCGGGCAUCCCUGCUGGAGGUGUCCUCACUCUGGCCAUCAUCCUCGAAGCAGUCAACCUCCCGGUCGACCAUAUCUCCUUGAUCCUGGCUGUGGACUGGCUACGACCGGUCCUGUACCGUCCUCAAUGUAGAAGGUGACGCUCUGGGGGCAGGACUCCUCCAAAAUUACGUGGACCGUACGGAGUCGAGAAGCACAGAGCCUGAGUUGAUACAAGUGAAGAGUGAGCUGCCCCUGGAUCCGCUGCCAGUCCCCACUGAGGAAGGAAACCCCCUCCUCAAACACUAUCGGGGGCCCGCAGGGGAUGCCACGGUCGCCUCUGAGAAGGAAUCAGUCAUGUAAACCCCGGGAGGGACCUUCCCUGCCCUGCUGGGGGUGCUCUUUGGACACUGGAUUAUGAGGAAUGGAUAAAUGGAUGAGCUAGGGCUCUGGGGGUCUGCCUGCACACUCUGGGGAGCCAGGGGCCCCAGCACCCUCCAGGACAGGAGAUCUGGGAUGCCUGGCUGCUGGAGUACAUGUGUUCACAAGGGUUACUCCUCAAAACCCCCAGUUCUCACUCAUGUCCCCAACUCAAGGCUAGAAAACAGCAAGAUGGAGAAAUAAUGUUCUGCUGCGUCCCCACCGUGACCUGCCUGGCCUCCCCUGUCUCAGGGAGCAGGUCACAGGUCACCAUGGGGAAUUCUAGCCCCCACUGGGGGGAUGUUACAACACCAUGCUGGUUAUUUUGGCGGCUGUAGUUGUGGGGGGAUGUGUGUGUGCACGUGUGUGUGUGUGUGUGUGUGUGUGUGUGUGUGUGUGUUCUGUGACCUCCUGUCCCCAUGGUACGUCCCACCCUGUCCCCAGAUCCCCUAUUCCCUCCACAAUAACAGAAACACUCCCAGGGACUCUGGGGAGAGGCUGAGGACAAAUACCUGCUGUCACUCCAGAGGACAUUUUUUUUAGCAAUAAAAUUGAGUGUCAACUAU